UACGUAGGUGACAAGCGUUGUCCGGAUUUACUGGGCGUAAAGAGCGCGCAGGCGGUCGUUCAAGUCGAGUGUGAAAGCCCCCGGCUCAACUGGGGAGGGUCAUUCGAUACUGAUCGACUCGAAGGCAGGAGAGGGAAGUGGAAUUCCCGGUGUAGUGGUGAAAUGCGUAGAUAUCGGGAGGAACACCAGUGGCGAAGGCGACUUCCUGGCCUGUUCUUGACGCUGAGGCGGCGAAAGCUAGGGGAGCAAACGGG
This 254-nucleotide ribosomal RNA is filed under the name uncultured bacterium. Its description in RNAcentral is "partial 16S ribosomal RNA". It matches the Rfam family "Bacterial small subunit ribosomal RNA", at positions 524 to 776 of the family's 1533-position model. The record is from RNAcentral.